RNAcentral lists this ribosomal RNA (40 nucleotides) under Galanthus nivalis (common snowdrop). Its description in RNAcentral is "partial 18S ribosomal RNA". RNAcentral also lists the same sequence under 1 other name. The record is from RNAcentral. Lineage: Eukaryota; Viridiplantae; Streptophyta; Magnoliopsida; Asparagales; Amaryllidaceae.
UAACAAGGUUUCUGUAGGUGAACCUGCGGAAGGAUCAUUG